RNAcentral lists this small RNA (566 nucleotides) under Pan troglodytes (chimpanzee). RNAcentral's name for it is "retained intron". The record is from RNAcentral. Lineage: Eukaryota; Metazoa; Chordata; Mammalia; Primates; Hominidae.
AGUGAUGCCUAAAGCUGUGGACCGCGUGGGCUCGCCUCCCUGGGACUAGGUUUCAGCGGCCGCUGCGAUGACCAAAAUAAAGGCAGAUCCCGACGGGCCCGAGGCUCAGGCGGAGGCGUGUUCCGGGGAGCGCACCUACCAGGAGCUGCUGGUCAACCAGAACCCCAUCGCGCAGCCCCUGGCUUCUCGCCGCCUCACGCGGAAGCUCUACAAAUGCAUCAAGAAAGCGGUGAAGCAGAAGCAGAUUCGGCGCGGGGUGAAAGAGGUUCAGAAAUUUGUCAACAAAGGAGAAAAAGGGUAAGAACCUUCCUUCCUCUGGAUUUUGCAUUUCUAAACGUUAACGGAGAAAUCUCUACUUAGUAGGCGCGCAGUAAAAAGGUUAACUCUGACCUAGCCCCAUAUACAGAAGCCAAUCAAGCAGUCGGUAAAGUCCCUUUGGUACAAUACCGGUACAACAAUACCGGUGCACCACGUAUACCAGCUCCAAGUGAAUUCCAAAGUGAAGCGAAUUGUGUAAGCUAAGUCCCGUAGAGUAGACCCACCUUCAUUAAUUCAGGGACCCUCCU